RNAcentral lists this ribosomal RNA (120 nucleotides) under uncultured bacterium. RNAcentral's name for it is "partial 16S ribosomal RNA". It matches the Rfam family "Bacterial small subunit ribosomal RNA", at positions 796 to 917 of the family's 1533-position model. The record is from RNAcentral.
CACGCUGUAAACGAUGAUAACUUGUUGUUGGGCACAUAGUGCUCAGUGGCUAAGCGAAAGCGAUAAGUUAUCCACCUGGGGAGUACGAUCGCAAGGUUGAAACUCAAAGGAAUUGACGGG